RNAcentral lists this ribosomal RNA (433 nucleotides) under uncultured bacterium. RNAcentral describes it as "partial 16S ribosomal RNA". It matches the Rfam family "Bacterial small subunit ribosomal RNA", at positions 29 to 507 of the family's 1533-position model. The record is from RNAcentral.
AACGAACGCUGGCGGCAUGCCUAACACAUGCAAGUCGAACGAGACCUUCGGGUCUAGUGGCGCACGGGUGCGUAACGCGUGGGAACCUGCCCUUAGGUUCGGAAUAACUCCCCGAAAGGGGUGCUAAUACCGGAUAAUGUCUUCGGACCAAAGAUUUAUCGCCUUUGGAUGGGCCCGCGUUGGAUUAGCUAGUUGGUAGGGUAAAAGCCCACCAAGGCGACGAUACAUAGCUGGUCUGAGAGGAUGAUCAGCCACACUGGGACUGAGACACGGCCCAGACUCCUACGGGAGGCAGCAGUGGGGAAUAUUGGACAAUGGGCGAAAGCCUGAUCCAGCAAUGCCGCGUGAGUGAUGAAGGCCUUAGGGUUGUAAAGCUCUUUUACCCGGGAUGAUAAUGACAGUACCGGGAGAAUAAGCUCCGGCUAACUCCGUG